This is a long non-coding RNA of Hirundo rustica (Barn swallow), 2188 nucleotides long. RefSeq lists it as uncharacterized. The record is from RefSeq and is a predicted model, not a curated record. The transcript is spliced from 6 exons. Lineage: Eukaryota; Metazoa; Chordata; Aves; Passeriformes; Hirundinidae.
AUGGGGGGGAAGAGUAACAGGGGCUCAGCAAUGGGGUACAUGGGGCCUGGACGUAGGUAGGGAGAAGAGGUGUAGGGGAGAGGCCUGGCAUGUGUGGGAACUUCUUGGGGGCAGUGUGGCAGAGUAUGGUGGGUUUGAGGCAGGCUGGCUGGUGUGAAGACUUGGAGCCAAGUGGAGCUGCCUCUCUGGCCAGGAGCAGCUCAGCAACAGGCAGUGACAAUCCCAGGAGGUGAUUACAGCUGGAGGAAUUCUAAACAGUCCACUUCUCCUUGUCAUGGUGUUUGAGCGCAUUGUGCUCCUGUCUGAACAGAGGAAAUCACUGAGCUGCAGCUCCUCACUGCUUCCACAGACCUGCUUUGUGACAGAGUCACGAACUUUGCAGGAGUCACUGCAUCCUCUGCUGUGCUUGGGAUCAACCCUGGCAUCUGAAUGUCCCUCCUGCAGAUCUGCUUUUCCUAUCCAGACUCUUACCUGAGACCAAGACCUGGAUGAUGUUUUGAGACUAGACGUAUCUCUGCUGGAUGAUCUGAUGGAUGUACAUGGUGAUGUACUAGGGUGUAAGAAAUGGAAGCCCCAUAGAAGUGUUGUCCAUGCUGCAUUCAGCUGUGGGGAUGUUGGCUUAAAUGAUUGAUCUCCUAUUUGAAAUACCAAUUCUUGAUUUACAUCUUGAUUUUAGUAUCUUGGCACACCUUUCUUUUACAUAGUAAAGCAUACCUGGGGUUCUAGUAGAACACUGCUCUUGGAUCAAGCUCAAACCUCAUUGCUCUUCCCUGCCUUCAGCUGGAAACGGACAGACACCAUUUGUGACUGAAUAUCCUGAGUCACCGAUUCCCAGCUGGCAUGUGCGCUGCAGUUCCAUGUCUUCCUUUCCGAUUGCACUCCCUAGAGGAGAUUGGGAACAACUGCAGGCGUCAGCUCCAGCGUGGUGUCUGCGCUUGCCGGGAUCCACACAAUUGGUGGACAGCCCCUGUCUACGUCUAUGGGAGGUCAAAGUCUACUGCAAGCAGUGACUGAUACAAUUCCCUGUGUAACUCAGGCUGCACUGCCUGUGCCUCAGGUUCUAACAGCAGAAGAGUUUGUGCAAGAACACCUUGCUUUAAAUGCAGGUUCUCUGCAAAGCCAUCCACUUCAAAGCUUCAUAAAACAGAGCUUUGAAUAAAUUACGGAGUUAGAAAUUACACUGGCUGUGCCCGGCUUUGUGCCUGGAUGUGGGAAUACUUGGCACUGGGUGUGGAAUUCCAAGGAAAAUUGCACCUUUGCUGGCUUGCCAAAGAGCAGUAAGAAGGAAAACUACUGCAGAUGAGCAGACACGGAAAUCUCCAGUUUCCCUUUCCAGAGAAGACAUCCUGAAGAACCUUUGGAUAUUAAUACACAGUAUAACUGAUGCAACACUGGGCAAACACUGGGAUUAACAGAAAUUACUGCUUCUGGAGGGGCCGCGGGGCAGCACCGCCUGCUGGAACUGCUCUUACCUUUAAAAUGCGUCCCUGUGGAAUCAGUGGGAAGUGGGGAAGGCCUGCCAAGUGUGGACACACCAUGUCAGGGUGUGGGAUGCCUGUGCUUCUUGUGCCAGGUGAUGAGCCCCAGGCUGUAUUAUUUUGGAUGUUUUUUCCUCUCUUUUGCAAGCUUUAGAUAAUAUACUGAUAACAUGACACUUCUAAGCAGUGACAUAGUUGCUUUGUCUUUCACAGAGACAGCCCACCUUCCUCUGUAUUCACAUUUCUGGUAUGUGUGUGGAGACGAUUUGUCUAUAAUUGUUUGCUUUCUUCGGAGUCUUUUGAAGUUUAAAUCUUCAAGCCAGCUCCCUAUAUUAAAAAUAAAUUCUUCCAAGCCACCAAUAAAAUGUCAGCUGUGAUUAAAGCCCGACUCCUCAUUUUAAGACUUGUCUCCUAAGCACUGUGAGGUCACUCAAUGAGUCAGCGUUUGAAAGGACCAGGACCGUUAUUGUUUGGGUAAAGCCCAAAGUUCAUCAUUGCUUGCUCAAAUGGUUUCAUCACGCUUUAAAUUGCUUUGCAUUGUGCUGAAAGAAAUGUAAACUGCAGGAACGAUUUGGCAGAGAACUUGUGAUAUUUCAGGCAUCUCAAAUCUUGAAAAAACCCUCUGUAUAUUAAUGUCGAAGCUGGUAUUUCUGGUAAGGAAAAGCUUUACCUUCUGUGUAGUAAAGAGGAGAAUGAAGUGAGAAGCUGUG